GGGGUUGUGGCUCAGCGGUAGAGGGCUCACCUAGCACAUGUGAGGCCCUGGGUUCGAUCCUCAGCACCACA
This 71-nucleotide transfer RNA is filed under the name Marmota monax (woodchuck). RNAcentral's name for it is "tRNA.Ala". Lineage: Eukaryota; Metazoa; Chordata; Mammalia; Rodentia; Sciuridae. The record is from RNAcentral.